Molecule: long non-coding RNA, 247 nt
Organism: Osmia bicornis bicornis
Lineage: Eukaryota; Metazoa; Arthropoda; Insecta; Hymenoptera; Megachilidae
Exons: 2
Source: RefSeq, a predicted model, not a curated record
AGAUGCAAUUACAUUCUCGCAGGAUAUAUCAGGAAAUAUGUUUGAGUGUUUGAUCAGACACGGAGGGGAAAAUUGCAGCAGAGAUAUUAUGGAGUAGAAGUAUUAAAUAGAUACAGUGGAGAAAUUAUCCAAGCAAGAGCAGUAUUAAAUUAGAAAAGUUUGUCUAGCACGUUACAGGCUUUAAAUACAAUGUAAUACUAGCAUAUUUCAAAAAAAUAGUUUAAUAAACGUAGAUGAAUCCCUUAAA